AUUUCCUGGGGGAGACUAACCAGCCCAAAGCCCAGCGGCCCAGGAAGGCUGAGUCGCUGCUGGGGAAGAAAUGGAAAAGUGGGUGGGAAGAGGAAUGGAAUGGAGUGUCCUGGGAAAGGAUGCCGAGUGGGAAGAUCCCAGGUGGGCGUCUAAGAGAGUUCAGCUGAACGGGGCCACAUGGGGUCUGCAACUCAUCUCCUCUACCGAGUCUUAAACCGUUUGCGUUCAGGUGUCCUUUGACCAGCUACGAUUGGCCCAACAGCCAUUCCUGGACCAGGGAAGCCUUGCCACGGUGGUUCAUGCACUGAUGACUUCAGGACUGAGUUACUGCCAUGCGCUCUAUGUGGAGCUUCCCCCGUGUCUGAUCCAGAAGCUGUAGCGAGUGCGGGAUGCAGCAGCACAAUUGCUGGCCACAGUGAGACCUCGUCUGCAUAGGAAGUCUGGGCUCAGAGGUCUGGUUACCCGUUUGAGUUCAAGCCAUUAAUCUGAGCCCGUGGGGAGGGGUCUCUUUCUCCUCCUCUGGGCAGCCUGUCCAUCUUUGAGAGUUAAUAUAGGAUGGAUAUGACAGGAAGUGAUGUUUCCACCAUAAGCGGAAGAAAGAGAGCUGCUGUCCUCCCUCGCAGGGGUGGCUGUGGACCUGCUCAAGAAAACUGCACGCCUCGGGGGCAAGGGAGGAUGAGUUUGGAGCCCCUCCCUCCUGGGAGAAGCAUGCGACCAGUGGGCGGAGCCUCUGCGCACACCUGGGGGGCCCUCCUCCCUCCCUUCAGAAUCCCAACUGCCACCUGCCACCUGAGCUGUGGGGGGGUGGGGGUGUCCAGCUUGUUCACAUCUGCUCAGAAACGGUUAGCGUUAGAAAGAAUGUGUAUGGUGGUAAAUGUUUUGGAAGAUUUAACAAAAAUUAUAUGGGGGGGGGGAUGGAAACGGUUAGUGGAGAGGGAGGACCCCUACGAAGAGAGGUUGUGGGGAGCAUUGAAGGGACAGAAUACCCAAAUCCUGUCUGUGAAAUCACCCCAGGCUUCAAUAAUCAUACCAGGCCUCAAAACUGUCCAAAAUUCCUUUUGUCUUCUAAAAAUCCAAAACAGCUUUUCUCUGCUUGUCUCUGCUUUUCUCACAAAAUGCUGUGCAUAGGCAAAAUGUUACUUUUAAAGGCUAAUGAAUAGGCUCUGGCAUUGCCAAGAAUACUCAGGCCUGGGAAAUGAAUCUUAUCUCAUUCUAGUUGCAACAUCUUUGGACAUGCUGAACCACCAGGUCUCCUCAACCCCUUGGCUUUCAUUCCCCUUUCCUGGGAAGGGUGCCAAGAGUCCACAAUAGUCCCAAGACAGCUUUCUGUUCAUGCUCAAAGGAACUCAUGGGCAGGACUCUGGAAGGAGGAGGAGAAAGGAGGAGGGAACUGGAAAGGGGUCUAUAUGUUUGUGCACAUGACUGUGAACUUUGUGCAUGCUUUUGUGGACUAUCACACGUGCUCCUUCUACCAGUUCAUGGAUGGUAGAACUAAAACCUUUUUCUCCGCAGCGAUGCCUUGAGUGUCUGUGGACUCCCAGUUCCCUUUCCCAGGCGCAAUGUUUUUCCCACCCGAGGGCAAAGCCUCAUAAGGCUACAGCAUCAGUGUAAGGGGGUGGGGGGCAGGACAACAGUCCCAGGUUCAUCAUCUACAGAAAAGAACCUAAGGAGACCCGUCUAAUCCAGCAUCCUCUUCGCCCAGGGCCCAACUAGAUGCUCCAAAAGGAAACUGCCAAGCAGGAUUUGCACCCAGAGCCACCCAGAGCCCUCUCCUCCUCCUCCUCCUCCUCCUCCUCCUCCAUGAAUUUGUCCAACCCUCUUUUAAAGCCAUCCAGGUUGGUGGCCAUGGCUGCUUCCUGUGGCAGGGAGUUCCACAGUUAAACUCUGUGCUGCGUGAAUAAGUCCCGUCUUUUAUCUGACCUGAAUCUUCCAACAUUCAGCUUCACUGCAUGUCUACAAGUUCUGGUGUUUUGAGAGAGGCAUAAUUUUAUAAACUUCUAGCAUGUCGCCUCGAACUCGCCUUUCCUCUAGACUCAAAAUGCUGCAACUCUCAGGGGAGUCGCUCCUCUCGCUCAGUCAUUUUGGAUGCCCUUUUCCGAACCUUUUCAAAUUCUACAAUAUCCUUUUUGGAUAUUGUAGAAUUUGAAAAUAUCCAGAACUGUACGCAGUACUCCAAACUGAGUUACACCAUAGAUUUGUGCCCCUCAGUUUUCUGGCUCUCAAGCGCUAACAAUCACUUCCUGAAAAUGAAUCCCAAACCACUUGUUGUUGUUGUUGUCGUCUAAAAGUCUGGCUGCCAAGAGAGCAUAUUUGUAAGAUUCAGUAGUCCUCACUCCUGGGGGUUUGGUUCCUCCCCUGCAAAAAUUUCCCCUUAGGGGUUCAAGUAUGGUGCCUUCACACUAAUAUUCCCAGUUGGUCAGACAUUAUUCAGUACUGCAUUGCAGGACAGAGUUCAAGGAGUCUGUUGAUCUACAUUAGCUGUGAUCUACAUUGGGCAAGAGAUUCCCGCAUUGCAGGCGGUUGGGCCCUUGGGGACCCUUCCUAACCUUGUCGUGAGGAUGAAAUGGGGAGGAGGAGACCCAUGUAAAGCACUUUGAGCUCCUUGCAGGGGAAAAGGUGGCACAGAAAUGUAAUAAAUAAAUAAACUCCAUGAUUCUAUGAUUCCCGCAUUUGGGGUUGGGCUGGAUGACCCUCGGGGUCCCUUAAAUGAUAUUAUCAUUUAGCUGUGACUCCUGCAUUACAAGGGGCUGGCCAUCAUCAUAAUAAUAAUAAUAAUAAUGAUGAUGAUGUUUUAUUUAUACCCCGCCCUCCCUGGCCAGAGCCGGGCUCAGGGCAGCUAACACCAAUAAAAUAAAAUCACAGUAAAAACAUAAUAGGGGAAAAGAGAGGGAGAAAAAAAACCAAUUUAAAAUACAGGUUAAAAUGUAAUUUAAAAUGCAGCCUCAUUUCAAAAGUACCCAUAGAUCAAAACCAUAAGGGGAGGGAAACAUAAGGGUCAGACUGAGUCUAAACCAAAGGCCAGGCGGAACAGCUCUGUCUUGCAGGCCCUGCGGAAAGAUGUCAAGUCCCGCAGGGCCCUAGUCUCUUGGGACAGAGCGUUUCAUCAAGUCGGGGCCAGUAGUGAAAAGGCCCUGGCCCUAGUUGAGACCAACCUAACCACCUUGAGACCUGGGACCUCCAAAGUGUUGUCAUUUGUGGACCUUAAGGUCCUCCGCGGGGCAUACCAGGAGAGGGGGUCCCGUAGGUACGUGGGUCCUAGGCCGCAUAGGGCUUCAAAGGUCAAAACCAGCACCUUAAACCUGACCCUGUACUUCACCGGGAGCCAGUGCAGUUGGUAAAGAUGACCCCUGGACCUCUCUUCCAUGCCAUGAUAUUUCCUGGGGGAGACUAACCAGCCCAAAGCCCAGCGGCCCAGGAAGGCUGAGUCGCUGCUGGGGAAGAAAUGGAAAAGUGGGUGGGAAGAGGAAGGGAAUGGAGUGUCCUGGGAAAGGAUGCCGAGUGGGAAGAUCUCAGGUGGGCGUCUAAGAGAGUUCAGCUGAACGGGGCCACAUGGGGUCUGCAACUCAUCUCCUCUACCGAGUCUUAAACCGUUUGCGUUCAGGUGUCCUUUGACCAGCUACGAUUGGUUCAACAGCCAUUCCUGGACCAGGGAAGCCUUGCCACGGUGGUUCAUGCACUGAUGACUUCAGGACUGAGUUACUGCCAUGCGCUCUAUGUGGAGCUUCCCCCGUGUCUGAUCCAGAAGCUGUAGCGAGUGCGGGAUGCGGCAGCACAAUUGCUGGCCACAGUGAGACCUCGUCUGCAUAGGAAGUCUGGGCUCAGAGGUCUGGUUACCCGUUUGAGUUCAAGCCAUUAAUCUGAGCCCGUGGGGAGGGGUCUCUUUCUGCUCCUCUGGGCAGCCUGUCCAUCUUUGAGAGUUAAUAUAGGAUGGAUAUGAUAGGAAGUGAUGUUUCCACCAUAAGCGGGAGAAAGAGAGCUGCUGCCCUCCCUCACAGGGGUGGCUGUGGACUUGCUCAAGAAAACUGCCCGCCUCGGGGGCAAGGGAGGAUGAGUUUGGAGCCCCUCCCUCCUGGGAGAAGCAUGCGACCAGUGGGCGGAGCCUCUGCGCACACCUGGGGGGCCCUCCUCCCUCCCUCCAGAAUCCCAACUGCCACCUGCCACCUGAGCUGUGGGGGGGUGGGGGUGUCCAGCUUGUUCAAAUCUGCUCAGAAACGGUUAGCGUUAGAAAGAAUGUGUAUGGUGGUAAAUGUUUUGGAAGAUUUAACAAAAAUUAUAUGGGGGGGGAGGGAAACGGUUAGUGGAGAGGGAGGACCCCUACGAAGAGAGGUUGUGGGGAGCAUUGAAGGGACAGAAUACCCAAAUCCUGUCUGUGAAAUCACCCCAGGCUUCAAUAAUCAUACCAGGCCUCAAAACUGUCCAAAAUUCCUUUUGUCUUCUAAAAAUCCAAAACAGCUUUUCUCUGCUUGUCUCUGCUUAUUCUCACAAAAUGCUGUGCAUAGGCAAAAUGUUACUUUUAAAGGCUAAUGAAUAGGCUCUGGCAUUGCCAAGAAUACUCAGGCCUGGGAAAUGAAUCUUAUCUCAUUCGGUUGCAACAUCUUGGACAUGCUGAACCACCAGGGCUCCUCGACCCCUUGGCUCUCACUCCCCUUUCCUGGGAAGGGUGCCAAGAGUCCACAAUAGUCCCAAGACAGCUUUCUGUUCAUGCUCAAAGGAACUCAUGGGCAGGACUCUGGAAGGAGGAGGAGAAAGGAGGAGGGAACUGGAAAGGGGUAUAUAUGUUUGUGCACAUGACUGUGAACUUUGUGCAUGCUUUUUGUGGACUAUCACACUUGCUCCUUCUACCAGUUCAUGGAUGGUAGAAAUAAAACCUUUUUCUCCGAAACUAUUCCUUGAGUGUCUGUUGACUCCCACUUCCCUUUCCCAGGCGCAAUGUUUUUCCCACCCGAGGGCAAAGCCUCAUAAGGCUACAGCAUCAGUGUAAGGGGGUGGGGGGCAGGACAACAGUCCCAGGUUCAUCAUCUACAGAAAAGAACCUAAGGAGACCCGUCUAAUCCAGCAUCCUCUUCGCCCAGGGCCCAACUAGAUGCUCCAAAAGGAAACUGCCAAGCAGGAUUUGCACCCAGAGCCCUCUCCUCCUCCAUGAAUUUGUCCAACCCUCUUUUAAAGCCAUCCAGGUUGGUGGCCAUGGCUGCUUCCUGUGGCAGGGAGUUCCACAGUUAAACUCUGUGCUGCGUGAAUAAGUCCCGUCUUUUAUCUGACCUGAAUCUUCCAACAUUCAGCUUCACUGCAGGUCCACAAGUUCUGGUGUUUUGAGAGAAGCAUAAUUUUAUAAACUUCUAGCAUGUCGCCUCGAACUCGCCUUUCCUCUAGACUCAAAAUGCUGCAAUUCUCAGGGGAGUCGCUCCUCUCGCUCAGUCAUUUUGGAUGCCCUUUUCCGAACCUUUUCAAAUUCUACAAUAUCCUUUUUGGAUAUUGUAGAAUUUGAAAAUAUCCAGAACUGUACGCAGUACUCCAAACUGAGUUACACCAUAGAUUUGUGCCCUCAGUUUUCUGGCUCUCAAGCGCUAACAAUCACUUCCUGAAAAUGAAUCCCAAACCACUUGUUGUUGUUGUCGUCUCAAAAGUCUGGCUGCCAAGAGAGCAUAUUUGUAAGAUUCAGUAGUCCUCACUCCUGGGGUUUGGUUCCUCCCCUGCAAAAAUUUCCCCUUAGGGGUUCAAGUAUGGUGCCUUCACACUAAUAUUCCCAGUUGGUCAGACAUUAUUCAGUACUGCAUUGCAGGACAGAGUUCAAGGAGUCUGUUGAUCUACAUUAGCUGUGAUCUACAUUGGGCAAGAGAUUCCCGCAUUGCAGGCGGUUGGGCCCUUGGGGACCCUUCCUAACCUUGUCGUGAGGAUGAAAUGGGGAGGAGGAGACCCAUGUAAAGCACUUUGAGCUCCUUGCAGGGGAAAAGGUGGCACAGAAAUGUAAUAAAUAAAUAAACUCCAUGAUUCUAUGAUUCCCGCAUUUGGGGUUGGGCUGGAUGACCCUCGGGGUCCCUUAAAUGAUAUUAUCAUUUAGCUGUGACUCCUGCAUUACAAGGGGCUGGCCAUCAUCAUAAUAAUAAUAAUAAUGAUGAUGAUGUUUUAUUUAUACCCCGCCCUCCCUGGCCAGAGCCGGGCUCAGGGCAGCUAACACCAAUAAAAUAAAAUCACAGUAAAAACAUAAUAGGGGAAAAGAGAGGGAGAAAAAAAACCAAUUUAAAAUACAGGUUAAAAUGUAAUUUAAAAUGCAGCCUCAUUUCAAAAGUACCCAUAGAUCAAAACCAUAAGGGGAGGGAAACAUAAGGGUCAGACUGAGUCCAAACCAAAGGCCAGGCGGAACAGCUCUGUCUUGCAGGCCCUGCGGAAAGAUGUCAAGUCCCGCAGGGCCCUAGUCUCUUGGGACAGAGCGUUUCAUCAAGUCGGGGCCAGUAGUGAAAAGGCCCUGGCCCUAGUUGAGACCAACCUAACCACCUUGAGACCUGGGACCUCCAAAGUGUUGUCAUUUCUGGACCUUAAGGUCCUCCGCAGGGCAUACCAGGAGAGGGGGUCCCGUAGGUACGUGGGUCCUAGGCCGCAUAGGGCUUCAAAGGUCAAAACCAGCACCUUAAACCUGACCCUGUACUUCACCGGGAGCCAGUGCAGUUGGUAAAGAUGACCCCUGGACAUCUCUUCCAUGCCAUGAUAUUUCCUGGGGGAGACUAACCAGCCCAAAGCCCAGCGGCCCAGGAAGGCUGAGUCGCUGCUGGGGAAGAAAUGGAAAAGUGGGUGGGAAGAGGAAGGGAAUGGAGUGUCCUGGGAAAGGAUGCCGAGUGGGAAGAUCCCAGGUGGGCGUCUAAGAGAGUUCAGCUGAACGGGGACACAUGGGGUCUGCAACUCAUCUCCUCUACCGAGUCUUAAACCGUUUGCGUUCAGGUGUCCUUUGACCAGCUACGAUUGGCCCAACAGCCAUUCCUGGACCAGGGAAGCCUUGCCACGGUGGUUCAUGCACUGAUGACUUCAGGACUGAGUUACUGCCAUGCGCUCUAUGUGGAGCUUCCCCCGUGUCUGAUCCAGAAGCUGUAGCGAGUGCGGGAUGCAGCAGCACAAUUGCUGGCCACAGUGAGACCUCGUCUGCAUAGGAAGUCUGGGCUCAGAGGUCUGGUUACCCGUUUGAGUUCAAGCCAUUAAUCUGAGCCCGUGGGGAGGGGUCUCUUUCUCCUCCUCUGGGCAGCCUGUCCAUCUUUGAGAGUUAAUAUAGGAUGGAUAUGACAGGAAGUGAUGUUUCCACCAUAAGCGGGAGAAAGAGAGCUGCUGUCCUCCCUCGCAGGGGUGGCUGUGGACCUGCUCAAGAAAACUGCCCGCCUCGGGGGCAAGCCCCUCCCUCCUGGGAGAAGCAUGCGACCAGUGGGCGGAGCCUCUGCGCACACCUGGGGGGCCCUCCUCCCUCCCUCCAGAAUCCCAACUGCCACCUGCGACCUGAGCUGUGGGGGGGUGGGGGUGUCCAGCUUGUUCACAUCUGCUCAGAAACGGUUAGCGUUAAAAAGAAUGUGUAUGGUGGUAAAUGUUUUGGAAGAUUUAACAAAAAUGAUAUGGGGGGGGGAGGGAAACGGUUAGUGGAGAGGGAGGACCCCUACGAAGAGAGGUUGUGGGGAGCAUUGAAGGGACAGAAUACCCAAAUCCUGUCUGUGAAAUCACCCCAGGCUUCAAUAAUCAUACCAGGCCUCAAAACUGUCCAAAAUUCCUUUUGUCUUCUAAAAAUCCAAAACAGCUUUUCUCUGCUUGUCUCUGCUUAUUCUCACAAAAUGCUGUGCAUAGGCAAAAUGUUACUUUUAAAGGCUAAUGAAUAGGCUCUGGCAUUGCCAAGAAUACUCAGGCCUGGGAAAUGAAUCUUAUCUCAUUCGGUUGCAACAUCUUGGACAUGCUGAACCACCAGGGCUCCUCGACCCCUUGGCUCUCACUCCCCUUUCCUGGGAAGGGUGCCAAGAGUCCACAAUAGUCCCAAGACAGCUUUCUGUUCAUGCUCAAAGGAACUCAUGGGCAGGACUCUGGAAGGAGGAGGAGAAAGGAGGAGGGAACUGGAAAGGGGUAUAUAUGUUUGUGCACAUGACUGUGAACUUUGUGCAUGCUUUUUGUGGACUAUCACACUUGCUCCUUCUACCAGUUCAUGGAUGGUAGAAAUAAAACCUUUUUCUCCGAAACUAUUCCUUGAGUGUCUGUUGACUCCCACUUCCCUUUCCCAGGCGCAAUGUUUUCCCCACCCGAGGGCAAAGCCUCAUAAGGCUACAGCAUCAGUGUAAGGGGGUGGGGGGCAGGACAACAGUCCCAGGUUCAUCAUCUACAGAAAAGAACCUAAGGAGACCCGUCUAAUCCAGCAUCCUCUUCGCCCAGGGCCCAACUAGAUGCUCCAAAAGGAAACUGCCAAGCAGGAUUUGCACCCAGAGCCACCCAGAGCCCUCUCCUCCUCCUCCUCCUCCUCCUCCUCC
This 8483-nucleotide long non-coding RNA is filed under the name Podarcis lilfordi (Lilford's wall lizard). The record is from RNAcentral. Lineage: Eukaryota; Metazoa; Chordata; Lepidosauria; Squamata; Lacertidae.